Molecule: unclassified non-coding RNA, 321 nt
Filed under: plant metagenome
Description: partial contains 5.8S ribosomal RNA, internal transcribed spacer 2, and large subunit ribosomal RNA
Rfam family: 5.8S ribosomal RNA (bases 1-106)
Source: RNAcentral
CGAAAUGCGAUAAGUAAUGUGAAUUGCAGAAUUCAGUGAAUCAUUGAAUCUUUGAACGCACAUUGCGCCCGCCAGUAUUCUGGCGGGCAUGCCUGUUCGAGCGUCAUUACAACCCUCAGGCCCCCGGGCCUGGCGUUGGGGAUCGGCGGAAGCCCCCUGCGGGCACAACGCCGUCCCCCAAAUACAGUGGCGGUCCCGCCGCAGCUUCCAUUGCGUAGUAGCUAACACCUCGCAACUGGAGAGCGGCGCGGCCACGCCGUAAAACACCCAACUUCUGAAUGUUGACCUCGAAUCAGGUAGGAAUACCCGCUGAACUUAAGC